CCUUUUUUUCAACUGCUCUCAUCUGUGCCUGUCAAUCAAGAAGCAAAGGAGCAUGGUGCAGGCUGUGGAAAACACCGUCUCUGCUGAAAUCACCAUCAAAGCAACCACUUAACUUUCACUUCAAUGGUGAGACACAACAGACGGGUCAAAUCAGCUUAAUUCCGGAUCCAGAUUUGAACUUAAACCUCCACCUACAGGAUUCUCGAAGCGAGAGUUGGAACAUCUGAACCCAUCACAAUGUCUUAUGAGCGCAUUCUGUCCAUCGAAGAUUUGAGCGAUGUUCCAAAUCCAUGGAAAGGAUUCACCAUGAACCGCUGCUUAGUGCUGGCACUGGUCCUUCUGCUCGUGAGCUCGGGGGUCAGUGAAGUGCACGAUGCAAUGGAUUCUUUUGUUGAGGACACAGGUAUCAUGUCUUUCCUUGGAAGUCUGCAGGAUGGUUCACUAUAUCAGAUUUCCAUAUGGGACAAUUUCAUGUCGUGGUGGGGAUCCGAAGAAGUCGGAGCGAUAAGAAGAAGAAAAAAGCCGAUUGGCAACAGAGCAAUCCUGAAACCCAAACCUAAAGUAUGAUUUGUAUAAAUAAAUAAAAAAUACAUGUCAUCAACUGUCACACAACAACAGGUUUCUGAAUAAAGAGCACAAACAGCCUUUCAUAUACGUUUCAUUUAAUAAUAUAAAAACCCAGAAUGAUACAUUUAUUAAUCCAUUUUUGUUAAUUUAUAGAGAACGCCAUUAAAUUUGUCAGGCAGUUGAAAUCUGUAUCACAUUUAUAUCUUCAAUAAUUUAAUCAAAUCUAACUUUUAGUAUCACCAAUUUAGAAAUGUCACUUACCGCCACAUUGUAACACAAUCUUGUAUUGUCAUCAGAUGUCACCAAGUUAUUAACAUAUUUGGAACAAUAAUUACAUGAUGGAAUCUUAAUUAAGAUUCUUAUGAUAAUGAUAAGAAAUUUGCCCUGACAAAACAAUGGCUUUUUAUACAAAUAAGAUUAGUAAUUAAAAUAAAAAUAUGACAGAGAAGGGUGAUAAUACUCAUUUGACUUAUUUGGUUUAAAUAAACUUGAAUAUUUUUAAGUGUGGGAAUACUGCAAAUAAUACAUUGUCUACAUAUAUAUAAGUAUAUGGCCUAAAGAGACCUCUGUGAAUUAACAUGUUU
Anarrhichthys ocellatus (wolf-eel) is the source of this 1151-nucleotide long non-coding RNA. RefSeq lists it as uncharacterized. Lineage: Eukaryota; Metazoa; Chordata; Actinopteri; Perciformes; Anarhichadidae. The record is from RefSeq and is a predicted model, not a curated record. The transcript is spliced from 5 exons.